CCUACGGGGGGCUGCAGUGGGGAAUAUUGGACAAUGGGGGGAACCCUGAUCCAGCCAUGCCGCGUGUGUGAAGAAGGCCCUCGGGUUGUAAAGCACUUUCAGUGAGGAAGAACGCCUGGUGGUUAAUACCCAUCAGGAAAGACAUCACUCACAGAAGAAGCACCGGCUAACUCCGUGCCAGCAGCCGCGGUAAUACGGAGGGUGCGAGCGUUAAUCGGAAUUACUGGGCGUAAAGCGCGCGUAGGUGGCUUGAUAAGCCGGUUGUGAAAGCCCCGGGCUCAACCUGGGAACGGCAUCCGGAACUGUCAAGCUAGAGUGCAGGAGAGGAAGGUAGAAUUCCCGGUGUAGCGGUGAAAUGCGUAGAGAUCGGGAGGAAGACCAGUGGCGAAGGCGGCCUUCUGGACUGACACUGACACUGAGGUGCGAAAGCGUGGGUAGCAAACAGGAUUAGAUACCCCAGUAGUC
This 465-nucleotide ribosomal RNA is filed under the name Vreelandella stevensii. Its description in RNAcentral is "partial 16S ribosomal RNA". It matches the Rfam family "Bacterial small subunit ribosomal RNA", at positions 338 to 795 of the family's 1533-position model. Lineage: Bacteria; Pseudomonadati; Pseudomonadota; Gammaproteobacteria; Oceanospirillales; Halomonadaceae. The record is from RNAcentral.